This 1211-nucleotide long non-coding RNA is filed under the name Helianthus annuus (common sunflower). Lineage: Eukaryota; Viridiplantae; Streptophyta; Magnoliopsida; Asterales; Asteraceae. The record is from RNAcentral.
UCGUACAGGAAAGGGCAGGGGCGACUCCCCACUCUUCAAAACCCUAGAACUUCACUAAUCUUGCAAAUUGAAGGUCCAAUUCAGUCCAAAAUCGAAAUUUAAGCAUGGAUUAUUAAUCCUCAUCACAAGAGGAUUAAAAGUUUGAUCUCGUCAAGCUAAGUGGGAGCUGGAAAGGAAUGGAUCAAACGGAUCAUGGAUGCGAAGAAUGUUUGCGCGGACGCGACGGUAAAACGGCUUAUGGAAUUUACGUGGCUAUGAAUCAGCAAAUUAUUAAGGCAAGGUAUUAAAACGGGUCAAUACUUUGACCCGCGCCAGGUACGCGUAAAUUUGGUGAAAGAUAUGUGAAUACCUUAAUGUAGAAAAAUGACAUGUGAAAGUAGAGAGUAGGAUUUAAACUUAAAUGAUUAAAUCCUCUCUAACGGGUCAAAAUAAGAACUUGAACGUAAAUGGGUUCUAACUAAGUAAGAAACCCAUGAUUUAUGAUUUAUUUGAUAGGAAAUAUUGAAAUUAUGAUUUUCAUGAGUUUAUAGAGCAAGUAAACAUGUUUGUUUGAUAAAAUCGCGAACGGGUUAAAAUUUGGUAAAAAUGGUAAUAAGCCGAAGACUUAAAAGUCUUAAAUUUUGUUAAUUCGGAUGUUGGAUUUUGACUCCAUAUUAUGAAGGGUCAAAUUACAAUCAUGUAGGAAGAAACGGUGGGUCAAACGGAUAAGCGGUUUGAAAGAUACGAAAGUUUUCGUGCCAAUAAACGGCAAAAUAGGAAAGCUGGAAUGCAGGGGCCACCGUAACUUACGGUGUCACCGUAAGUUACGGUGGAGUUGAAGGCUUUACGGCAGCCCCCUACUGAUUUACGGUAGGGGCAUGUCACACCAGGGGCCACCGUAACUUACGGUGCCACCGUAAGUUACGGUGGAGGCCAGUUGGGAAAUCCAUGUUUUGAGAUCAAGAGUUUAACGUUGGGAAUUCUUUUUCCUUCCAUUAUCAUUACCGGAUUUGUUUAGAUUUAUUUCAAUCCACGUAUGACUAAAGCAUUUCAUGUUUAUGAAAUGUAGGUUCAUUUUGGAUGCCGAGAGACGAUCAAGCUCAUCGAAGAACCGAACACGAUAUAGUUACAUGCUUCCGCACUUUGCCACGUUGUAUAUUUUAAACAACGAAUUCGAUCACGUUUUGUAGAAUAACUUAUGAAUUGUAAAAGUUUUAAUUUACUCGAAAUUU